GACGGAGGGUGCAAACGUUGUUCGGAAUCACUGGGCAUAAAGCGCACGUAGGCGGUUCGUCAAGUCAGGUGUGAAAUCCCCCGGCUCAACCGGGGAACUGCAUUUGAUACUGGCGGGCUCGAGGAUGGUAGGGGUGAGCGGAACUCCAGGUGGAGCGGUGAAAUGCGUAGAUAUCUGGAGGAACACCGGUGGCGAAGGCGGCUCACUGGACCAUAUCUGACGCUGAGGUGCGAAAGCCAGGGUAGCAAACGGG
Molecule: ribosomal RNA, 253 nt
Filed under: uncultured bacterium
Lineage: Bacteria
Description: partial 16S ribosomal RNA
Rfam family: Bacterial small subunit ribosomal RNA
Source: RNAcentral